RNAcentral lists this ribosomal RNA (455 nucleotides) under uncultured bacterium. Its description in RNAcentral is "bacterial SSU rRNA". It matches the Rfam family "Bacterial small subunit ribosomal RNA", at positions 33 to 507 of the family's 1533-position model. The record is from RNAcentral.
GACGACGCUGGCGGCGUGCCUAACACAUGCAAGUCGAACGAAGCAUAGCAAUAUGCUUAGUGGGCGGACGGGUGAGUAACGCGUGAACAAUCUGCCCUGUACAAAGGAAUAGCCUCGGGAAACCGGGAUUAAAACCGUAUGACACUUUAGUAUCGCAUGAUAAGAAAGUCAAAUCGAAUAGAGGUAUGGGAUGAGUUCGCGUCUGAUUAGCUGGUUGGCGGGGUAACGGCCCACCAAGGCGACGAUCAGUAGCCGGCCUGAGAGGGUGAACGGCCACACUGGAACUGAGACACGGUCCAGACUCCUACGGGAGGCAGCAGUGGGGAAUAUUGCACAAUGGAGGGAACUCUGAUGCAGCGACGCCGCGUGAGUGAAGAAGGUCUUCGGAUCGUAAAACUCUGUCCUUGGUGAAGAAAAGGACGGUAGCCAAGGAGGAAGCCCCGGCUAACUACGUG